RNAcentral lists this small RNA (417 nucleotides) under Pan troglodytes (chimpanzee). Its description in RNAcentral is "processed transcript". The record is from RNAcentral. Lineage: Eukaryota; Metazoa; Chordata; Mammalia; Primates; Hominidae.
GACUAUUCACUUUUCAAACAAGGGAAGGAGAAAUGAUCUAUCAGAAGGUUCAUUCUGCGACACUGGCCAUAGCUGAGCAACAUGAAAGAUUAAUGCUAGAAAUGGAACAGAAGGCCCGGCUUCAGACAAGCUUGACUGAACCAAUGACAUUAUCCAAAUCAAUAUCUCUUCCUCGCAGCGCGUACUGGCAUCACAUCACUCGUCAGAACAGCGUUGGUGAAAUCUACAGUUUGCAAGGAAAUCAUGAAAAUCGGCACUCCGAUUUAACAGGAAAGAGUUGCAAGAAAUCCGAGAACAGAUUUCUUGAAGAAAAUGCACCCUUGGUUAUGUAUGGCAUCACUCACCAUCUGUUCAUGGAUACUUCUACAUGCAAAGUUGUACAUGACUUGGAAUAAACCAGCUCUAGUUUUAUCAUCA